Molecule: ribosomal RNA, 1563 nt
Filed under: Triticum aestivum (bread wheat)
Lineage: Eukaryota; Viridiplantae; Streptophyta; Magnoliopsida; Poales; Poaceae
Description: partial small subunit ribosomal RNA
Source: RNAcentral
AUGGCCAUGGCGCCAUCGCCCGCAAGCGCUUCCUCCUCCACCACCUCCCCUCUCCUGCCCUCCUCCCCAUCCAUCUCUGCCUUCCUUGCCUCACACCCGGCCCUCACCCUCCUCCACACGCAAUGCGCCACCAUGGCUCACCUCCGCCAGCUCCACGCCGCGCUCGUCAAGUCUGGCCUCGCCAAAGACCCCAUCGCCGCCAGCCGCGCCGUCGCCUUCUGCGCCGGCGAAGGACGCGACGCUGCCUACGCCGCGCGCAUCGUCAGGCACCACCCGAGGCCCAACUCCUUCAUGUGGAACACCGUCAUAAGGGCGCUGUCCGACGGGCCCGGUCCGGACGCGGCCGUGGCGCUGUUUCUCGACAUGCUCUGGUCGCCCACGCCGCCGGAGCGGCGCACGUUCCCGUCUCUGUUCGCCGCAUACGCGCGCCUCGGCCGCGCCGACGACGGCGCGGCGCUCCACGGCAUGGUGCUCAAGCUCGGCCUCGCCGGGGACGCGUAUACACGCAACUCCAUGAUCGCCAUGUACGCGUCAUGCGGCCGCGCGGACGAGGCUCUGGCGCUCUUCAGGCAGUGUCAAGAGUUCGACGUUGUGGCGUGCAACAGCGCUAUCGUGGCGCUCUCGAGGGCGGGGCGCGUCGACGAAGCGCGGGCGGUGUUCGCCGACAUGCCGGCCAGGACCGUGGCGACGUGGAGCGCCAUGGUUAGCGCGUACUCCCGCGCCGCGAGGUUCCAAGACGCCGUCGACCUCUUCUCCGCGAUGCAGGUGGACGGCGUGGAGCCGAACGCCAACGUGCUCGUCAGCGUCCUCGGCUGCUGCGCAAGCCUCGGCGCGCUGGAGCAGGGCGCGUGGGUGCACGCGUACAUAGACAAGCACGACGUGGCCAUGAACGCGCUCGUGGUCACCGCCCUCGUGGACAUGUACUGCAAGUGUGGCUCAAUACACAAGGCUCGCCAGGUGUUCGACACCACGAGAUCGCAGGGCAUGGCCAAGCUGUCGUCCUGGAACGCCAUGAUGCUUGGCCUGGCAGCGCACGGGCAAUGCCAGGAAGCGGUCACCUUGUUCUCCGAGCUGGAACCUUACGGUCUCCGACCGGACAAGGUCACCUUCAUCGCGAUGCUGAUGGCCUACGGCCAUUCCGGCAUGACCUACGAGGCGAAGGCUCUGUUCGCGUCAAUGGCGAGGGAAUACGGUGUUACACCGGGAAUCGAGCACUAUGGCUGCCUUGUCGACGCGCUCGCCCGGGCCGGAAGGCUCCGGGAGGCGGAGGACACCAUCCGGGCAAUGCCGAUGAAGCCAGACGCGGCCAUUUGGGGCGCCCUGCUCUCCGGAUGCCGCUUGCACGGCGACGCGGAGGCGGGGGCGCGCGCGGCGCGUGGAGCCGUGGAAUGCGACCCACAGGACAGCGGCGCGUACGUGCUCGCGGCAAAUGUGCUUGCAUGCGACGGCGAGGUAGGCCGGGGCUUGGGUGUCAGGGGGGAGAUGCGGGAGGAGGGAGUGGCCAAGGUGCCCGGGUGUAGCAUGAUCGAGGUGAAUGGUGUCGUCCACGAGUUCAUGAGCUAG